GUGAAUCAUCGAGUCUUUGGACGCACAUUGCACUCCUUUGGAGUAUGCCUGUUUGAGAAUCUAUAGUAUUCAUUUUUGUCUAUGCUUUUUCGGAAGUAUAGGCAAGAGAUUUGAGUCUCCCAACUGGGUUUCUUGAAAUAGAUUGCCUCUGUCUAGUAAAAAGCGACGACGUUUUUCAUACCCUGCAGAAAAGUAUUUGGAUGGAACCCUGGUUUCUUAUGAUGCUGAAUAAGUAGGAGAAAGAAAGAGUUUUUACGGUCAUUAGGUUCAUUAACCAUAAAGCUUCGAGCUUUGAACCAUGGUCUCAAAUUCAGGUAGGAAGACCCGCUGAAUUAAGCAUAUCAAUAAGCGGACGGU
RNAcentral lists this ribosomal RNA (357 nucleotides) under uncultured fungus. RNAcentral's name for it is "eukaryotic LSU rRNA". Lineage: Eukaryota; Fungi. The record is from RNAcentral.